AUUGAACGCUGGCGGCAGGCCUAACACAUGCAAGUCGAACGGUAACAGGGAUCAGCUUGCUGAUUCGCUGACGAGUGGCGGACGGGUGGGUAAUGUCUGGGAAACUGCCUGAUGGAGGGGGAUAACUACUGGAAACGGUAGCUAAUACCGCAUAACGUCGCAAGACCAAAGAGGGGGACCUUCGGGCCUCUUGCCAUCGGAUGUGCCCAGAUGGGAUUAGCUAGCAGGUGGGGUAACGGCUCACCUAGGCGACGAUCCCUAGCUGGUCUGAGAGGAUGACCAGCCACACUGGAACUGAGACACGGUCCAGACUCCUACGGGAGGCAGCAGUGGGGAAUAUUGCACAAUGGGCGCAAGCCUGAUGCAGCCAUGCCGCGUGUAUGAAGAAGGCCUUCGGGUUGUAAAGUACUUUCAGCGGGGAGGAAGGGAGUAAAGUUAAUACCUUUGCUCAUUGACGUUACCCGCAGAAGAAGCACCGGCUAACUCCGUG
Molecule: ribosomal RNA, 490 nt
Filed under: uncultured bacterium
Lineage: Bacteria
Description: partial 16S ribosomal RNA
Rfam family: Bacterial small subunit ribosomal RNA
Source: RNAcentral